GGGCAGGUGGCGGAGUGGUCAAACGCAGCAGACUGUAAAUCUGCCGCCUUUAUGGCUGCGUAGGUUCGAAUCCUACCCUGCCCACCA
This 87-nucleotide transfer RNA is filed under the name Candidatus Berkelbacteria bacterium. RNAcentral describes it as "tRNA-Tyr". It matches the Rfam family "tRNA". Rfam says of the family: Transfer RNA (tRNA) molecules are approximately 80 nucleotides in length. Their secondary structure includes four short double-helical elements and three loops (D, anti-codon, and T loops). Lineage: Bacteria; Candidatus Berkelbacteria. The record is from RNAcentral.